Molecule: long non-coding RNA, 249 nt
Organism: Homalodisca vitripennis (glassy-winged sharpshooter)
Lineage: Eukaryota; Metazoa; Arthropoda; Insecta; Hemiptera; Cicadellidae
Exons: 2
Source: RefSeq, a predicted model, not a curated record
CACCUGCCUCAAAGACGCCUAUGCCGAGAACGCCUGCAGCUAGCGACCUAAAUAACGGUUGAUGACAUGGACGCAAAACCUAUGGAAGCCAGAUUUUUGUGGAAGAAAAAAAAGGGAUUUUACGGCAAAAAGAAAUGUGGAUAAAGUUAAAAGAUGUGGAUUCUCAUUGCACUGCCUUCUUAAUUUCUCUAUUAUUUUGUCAGAGUGUUACAGUUAUUUAACUUUAAAAUUAUACAUCCAGAUAAUUUA